This 330-nucleotide ribosomal RNA is filed under the name Lithobius microps. Its description in RNAcentral is "partial large subunit ribosomal RNA". It matches the Rfam family "Eukaryotic large subunit ribosomal RNA", at positions 666 to 946 of the family's 3401-position model. The record is from RNAcentral. Lineage: Eukaryota; Metazoa; Arthropoda; Chilopoda; Lithobiomorpha; Lithobiidae.
CCAAGGAGUCUAACAUGUGUGCGAGUCGUAGGGAAGUUCUCGGACGAAACCCGAAGGCGUAAUGAAAGUGAAGGUCGGCAAAUCGUCGACCAAGGCGGGAUCCGUUCGGGCUUACGGUUCGGCCGAGCCCGGCGGCGCACCGCCGGCCCGUCUCGACCGCAGCGCCGGUGAGGCGGAGCAAGAGCAUACACGUUGGGACCCGAAAGAUGGUGAACUAUGCCCGGGCAGGACGAAGCCAGAGGAAACUCUGGUGGAGGUCCGUAGCGAUUCUGACGUGCAAAUCGAUCGUCGGACCUGGGUAUAGGGGCGAAAGACUAAUCGAACCGUCUA